CCUACGGGGGACAGCAGUGGGGAAUAUUGGGCAAUGGGCGCAAGCCUGACCCAGCAACGCCGCGUGAAGGAAGAAGGCUUUCGGGUUGUAAACUUCUUUUCUCAGGGACGAAGCAAGUGACGGUACCUGAGGAAUAAGCCACGGCUAACUACGUGCCAGCAGCCGCGGUAAUACGUAGGUGGCAAGCGUUAUCCGGAUUUACUGGGUGUAAAGGGCGUGUAGGCGGGACUGCAAGUCAGGUGUGAAAACCACGGGCUCAACCUGCGGCCUGCAUUUGAAACUGUAGCUCUUGAGUGCUGGAGAGGCAGGCGGAAUGCCUAGUGUAGCGGUGAAAUGCGUAGAUAUUAGGAGGAACACCAGUGGCGAAGGCGGUCUGCUGGACAGCAACUGACGCUGAGGCGCGAAAGCGUGGGGAGCAAACAGGAUUAGAUACCCCAGUAGUC
Molecule: ribosomal RNA, 443 nt
Filed under: uncultured bacterium
Lineage: Bacteria
Description: partial 16S ribosomal RNA
Rfam family: Bacterial small subunit ribosomal RNA
Source: RNAcentral